AGAGUUUGAUCCUGGCUCAGAUUGAACGCUGGCGGCAGGCCUAACACAUGCAAGUCGAGCGGUAGCACAGAGAGCUUGCUCUCGGGUGACGAGCGGCGGACGGGUGAGUAAUGUCUGGGAAACUGCCUGAUGGAGGGGGAUAACUACUGGAAACGGUAGCUAAUACCGCAUAACGUCGCAAGACCAAAGUGGGGGACCUUCGGGCCUCAUGCCAUCAGAUGUGCCCAGAUGGGAUUAGCUAGUAGGUGGGGUAAUGGCUCACCUAGGCGACGAUCCCUAGCUGGUCUGAGAGGAUGACCAGCCACACUGGAACUGAGACACGGUCCAGACUCCUACGGGAGGCAGCAGUGGGGAAUAUUGUACAAUGGGCGCAAGCCUGAUGCAGCCAUGCCGCGUGUAUGAAGAAGGCCUUCGGGUUGUAAAGUACUUUCAGCGAGGAGGAAGGCAUUAAGGUUAAUAACCUUAGUGAUUGACGUUACUCGCAGAAGAAGCACCGGCUAACUCCGUGCCAGCAGCCGCGGUAAUACGGAGGGUGCAAGCGUUAAUCGGAAUUACUGGGCGUAAAGCGCACGCAGGCGGUCUGUUAAGUCAGAUGUGAAAUCCCCGGGCUCAACCUGGGAACUGCAUUUGAAACUGGCAGGCUUGAGUCUUGUAGAGGGGGGUAGAAUUCCAGGUGUAGCGGUGAAAUGCGUAGAGAUCUGGAGGAAUACCGGUGGCGAAGGCGGCCCCCUGGACAAAGACUGACGCUCAGGUGCGAAAGCGUGGGGAGCAAACAAAAUUAGAUACCCUGGUAGUCCACGCUGUAAACGAUGUCGACUUGGAGGUUGUUCCCUUGAGGAGUGGCUUCCGGAGCUAACGCGUUAAGUCGACCGCCUGGGGAGUACGGCCGCAAGGUUAAAACUCAAAUGAAUUGACGGGGGCCCGCACAAGCGGUGGAGCAUGUGGUUUAAUUCGAUGCAACGCGAAGAACCUUACCUACUCUUGACAUCCAGAGAACUUAGCAGAGAUGCUUUGGUGCCUUCGGGAACUCUGAGACAGGUGCUGCAUGGCUGUCGUCAGCUCGUGUUGUGAAAUGUUGGGUUAAGUCCCGCAACGAGCGCAACCCUUAUCCUUUGUUGCCAGCGAUUCGGUCGGGAACUCAAAGGAGACUGCCAGUGAUAAACUGGAGGAAGGUGGGGAUGACGUCAAGUCAUCAUGGCCCUUACGAGUAGGGCUACACACGUGCUACAAUGGCAUAUACAAAGAGAAGCGACCUCGCGAGAGCAAGCGGACCUCAUAAAGUAUGUCGUAGUCCGGAUUGGAGUCUGCAACUCGACUCCAUGAAGUCGGAAUCGCUAGUAAUCGUAGAUCAGAAUGCUACGGUGAAUACGUUCCCGGGCCUUGCACACACCGCCCGUCA
This 1399-nucleotide ribosomal RNA is filed under the name uncultured bacterium. Its description in RNAcentral is "bacterial SSU rRNA". It matches the Rfam family "Bacterial small subunit ribosomal RNA". The record is from RNAcentral.